UCUUGUCAUAGUUAUGGUUUUGUGGUUCUUCUAGGUGGCUCACCUUACCCAAGCUGGAAGAAAAAUUGCAAACUUACUUCAGGAGGGAUACAGGAUGCCCAAACCACAACACGUCGAUGAAAAGUUGUAUCAGAUCAUGAUGAAAUGCUGGAAAAAUGACCCGGAUGUAAGACCAACAUUCGCUGAUUUGAAAAAUCAACUUAAGGACAUGGAAACCCAACAUAAGAGGCUGAUCAACAUGAAUAUGUACGAUAAGCAGUUGUAUGCAAAUAUCGAGGAUUUUUUCCUGUAGUUGGAUCACGUCCAAGGUGUGAUCGGCUAACGACUUGAUCACUUUACCGCAACAAGUUUCAGGGACUAAUCAUCUUUGCCUUAAUCUAUUGCGUUGUGCUUUUUAUAUUCUUAAACGGUGAACCACUAUUAUAUGCUUUCAGUCGCUUAACCGAUGGAGUAUACUCUCGUAUAAGCAUUUGUGAAGGGUUUGU
This is a long non-coding RNA of Stylophora pistillata, 485 nucleotides long. The record is from RefSeq and is a predicted model, not a curated record. NCBI's taxonomy places the organism in Eukaryota, Metazoa, Cnidaria, Anthozoa, Scleractinia, Pocilloporidae.